Molecule: non-coding RNA, 909 nt
Organism: Meleagris gallopavo (turkey)
Lineage: Eukaryota; Metazoa; Chordata; Aves; Galliformes; Phasianidae
Source: RefSeq, a predicted model, not a curated record
UAACGGCCGCACCACCGCCUCCUCCCCUCACCGCCCUUGCAUAACGCAGCCCGGGCCGGCCCCGCUCCAACUGCGUAUGUAACUGCAGCGCUUCAGCUGAAGGGAAUCGUGUAAUUGCGAGCGUGCUUACAUACGCAGGGCUGGAUUGGUUGUCUGCUGAUGGUAUUCAGCGGUUUGCCAGAGGAGAGCCGUUGUUUAUCUUACUUCCAGUAAAAUAUUUAGGAUGGCAAACAUACAUACAUAUGUAUACAUACAUAUAGACACACAAAAUAUUUCUUUUAGCCACCAAAGCAGAUUCUGGGCUAGUUUAAUUUGUUACCCAGAUGGUUCUUGCUAUCCUACUCAUUCCUGCUGGUGACCAGAAAGCACUUCUUUGUCUCACAUUCCCAUGUUGAAUAUGCCAAUUCUGCCCUUAGUUCAAAGAUUGUUAGGAUUACUUUGGAGAAGGUGCCUUCAACGUGCAUCACCACAGAGAUGCAGUAAGGCUGCAAAACAUCUGUAUUCCCAGGCAGAAGAAUAGCAGAGCUACUUAGAGCAGUUCCAUUACCCAAAAAAGACUGUCUCUAACGUCUGUGGCAUUUGACAGAAUCCCUCAGGUUUGAUCUCACCAGAGAAAGGGAACAAGCAAAACCUUCCGAAGUAGAAGCUGAAGUUUUAGAAGAACAACAGGCUCUGAUUUUCAAGACAAAAGUAGCAGCACACUGAGCCAACACAAGCACUGUCCGCCUGAGAACCAGUAUGAAUCCAAAGAGGAACUUAAGACCAUCAGGUUCUUUUCCAAGAGUCCAUAAGUAGUCAUUAGACAAAACAUAGUUCCAGUCAGCACCGUCCUGUUUUACAUUACAACUGCUUAACUAAAUUUAAAAAGCCUUUAAACCAAUUAAAAUCUCCUGAAUUACCCAGUUCUUA